Bubalus bubalis (water buffalo) is the source of this 931-nucleotide long non-coding RNA. RefSeq lists it as uncharacterized. NCBI's taxonomy places the organism in Eukaryota, Metazoa, Chordata, Mammalia, Artiodactyla, Bovidae. The transcript has 2 exons. The record is from RefSeq and is a predicted model, not a curated record.
CACGCUGGCCGGCUGGGAGCUCGGCCACCUGUUGGGCCAGAACAAGUGCAGCCAUGAAAGUCACCCAAGUCCCUCUUCCUCCAGCAGCAAAUAACAGCUUGCAGAUGCCAUAGGUGCCAGCUGAGGCCCAGGCGGGACGGGCUGUAGGCAAUGGCUCCUCCGGGGCUGGGGCCACAGCGCAGUUAUUUAUAAGCUCUGGCUGCUGCCAGCCGUCCUGGAUCAGGCUGGUUUGUUUGAAUCUCUGGUGCCAAGUGUUUUCCUUUUUUUUCUUUUCCCAGUGAGAAUCUGAAUCUGAACAUCGCCGGGGAAACCCAGAAUCAAGUCACUGGAUCGAUUCUUGCUCAACACCCACCGUCAAGGCCUCAAAGGCUAAAGAAGAAAAAGAAUCACAUGAUCAUAUCAACAGAUGCAGAAAAAGCAUUUGACAAAAUCCAACACUCAUUCAAGAUUAAAGCUCCCAGCAAAUCAUUAAGAGGGGUACUUCCUCAACUUAAAAAACAUCUACAAAAAAACUACAGCUAACAUCAUACUUAACAGUGAUAAACUUGAAGCUUUCCGGCUACCAUCAAGAACAAGGCAAGGAUCUCCCCUCUCACUAGUCCUUUUCAACAUUUUGCUGCAAGUCCUGGCUAACGCAAUAAGACAAGAAAUGGGAGUAAAAGUUAUACAGAUUGGGAAGGAAGAAAUAAAACUGUAUUCACACAUGAUACGAUUUUCUCUGUAGAAAAUCUGAAAGGACCACCACCAACAACAAAAGUUCUUGGAAUUAACAGGCAAUUUUAGAAAAGCUGUAGGAUACAAAGUUAAUACAUAAAAUCCAAAAGUUUUCCUGUAUACCAGCAACAAAUGAGUGGAACUGAAGUUAAAAACAUAUCAUCAUUUACAUUAGUAGCCCCCCAGAUCUAUAUGAGGAAAACUACAAAAUUCUGAU